GACAGAGGGUGCAAACGUUGUUCGGAUUUACUGGGCGUAAAGCGCGUGUAGGCGGCCUUGCAAGUUGGAUGUGAAAGCCCACGGCUCAACCGUGGAAGCGCAUCCAAAACUGCAUCGCUCGAGUCUCGGAGAGGAAGGUGGAAUGCUUGGUGUAGAGGUGAAAUUCGUAGAUAUCAAGCAGAACACCUGCGGCGAAGGCGGCCUUCUGGACGAUGACUGACGCUGAGACGCGAAAGCGUUGGGAGCAAACAGG
RNAcentral lists this ribosomal RNA (253 nucleotides) under uncultured bacterium. Its description in RNAcentral is "partial 16S ribosomal RNA". It matches the Rfam family "Bacterial small subunit ribosomal RNA", at positions 524 to 776 of the family's 1533-position model. The record is from RNAcentral.